RNAcentral lists this ribosomal RNA (496 nucleotides) under uncultured delta proteobacterium. RNAcentral's name for it is "bacterial SSU rRNA". It matches the Rfam family "Bacterial small subunit ribosomal RNA", at positions 47 to 523 of the family's 1533-position model. Lineage: Bacteria; Deltaproteobacteria. The record is from RNAcentral.
CAUAACACAUGCAAGUUGAACGUGAAAGGGAGAAAUCCUGAGUAAAGUGGCGCACGGGUGAGUAACGCGUAGGUAAUCAGCCCCAAAGUCUGGAAUAACCCAUCUAAAGGUGGGCUAAUACGGGAUAAAGCUCAAAAGCAAGAAGCUAUUUGAGCCAAAGGAGGGAAGUAAAAAUCCUUUCGCUAAGGGAAGAGCCUGCGUCUGAUGAGCUAGUUGGUAGGGUAAGAGCCUACCAAGGCAACGAUAAGUAGCUGGUCUGAGAGGAUGAACAGCCACACUGGAACUGAAACACGGUCCAGACUCCUACGGGAGGCAGCAGUGAGGAAUUUUGCGCAAUGGACGAAAGUCUGACGCAGCCACGCCGCGUGAGUGAAGAAGGCCUUCGGGUUGUAAAGCUCUGUCGGGGGAGAAGAAAACCUAGGGAACGAAUAAUUUUCUAGCUUGACGGUAUCCCUAAAGGAAGCACCGGCUAACUCCGUGCCAGCAGCCGCGGUAA